ACCCUUUGUGACAUACCUACAACUGUUGCUUCGGCGGGUAGGCCGUCCCCUGAAAAGGACGCCUCCCGGCCCGGACCGGACCCCCUGUGGGGCCGGACUCGGCGCCCGCCGGAGGAUAACCAAACGCUAUUUUAACGACGUUUCUUCUGAGUGGCAUAAGCAAAAUAAUCAAAACUUUUAACAACGGAUCUCUUGGUUCUGGCAUCGAUGAAGAACGCAGCGAAAUGCGAUAAGUAAUGUGAAUUGCAGAAUUCAGUGAAUCAUCGAAUCUUUGAACGCACAUUGCGCCCGCCAGCAUUCUGGCGGGCAUGCCUGUUCGAGCGUCAUUUCAACCCUCAAGCUCUGCUUGGUGUUGGGGCUCUACGGUCGACGUAGGCCCUCAAAGGUAGUGGCGGACCCUCCCGGAGCCUCCUUUGCGUAGUAACAUUUCGUCUCGCACUGGGAUCCGGAGGGACUCUUGCCGUAAAACCCCCCAAUUUUUCAAGGUUGACCUCGGAUCAGGUAGGAAUACCCGCUGAACUUAAGCAUAUCAAUAAGCGGAGGA
This 544-nucleotide ribosomal RNA is filed under the name Colletotrichum boninense. Its description in RNAcentral is "eukaryotic LSU rRNA". The stretch from base 173 to 326 matches the Rfam family "5.8S ribosomal RNA". The record is from RNAcentral. Lineage: Eukaryota; Fungi; Ascomycota; Sordariomycetes; Glomerellales; Glomerellaceae.